Podarcis lilfordi (Lilford's wall lizard) is the source of this 80-nucleotide non-coding RNA. Lineage: Eukaryota; Metazoa; Chordata; Lepidosauria; Squamata; Lacertidae. The record is from the annotation of a GenBank genome assembly.
GGCCAUGGCUUAGUGGUAGAGCAUCUGCCUUUUCUGCAAAAAGUUCCUGGUUCAAUUCCUAUCAUUUCUAGGUAGAGCUA